UACGAAGGGGGCUAGCGUUGCUCGGAAUCACUGGGCGUAAAGGGUGCGUAGGCGGGUCUUUAAGUCAGGGGUGAAAUCCUGGAGCUCAACUCCAGAACUGCCUUUGAUACUGAAGAUCUUGAGUUCGGGAGAGGUGAGUGGAACUGCGAGUGUAGAGGUGAAAUUCGUAGAUAUUCGCAAGAACACCAGUGGCGAAGGCGGCUCACUGGCCCGAUACUGACGCUGAGACGCGAAAGCGUGGGGAGCGAACCGG
Molecule: ribosomal RNA, 253 nt
Filed under: uncultured bacterium
Lineage: Bacteria
Description: partial 16S ribosomal RNA
Rfam family: Bacterial small subunit ribosomal RNA
Source: RNAcentral